Anguilla rostrata (American eel) is the source of this 323-nucleotide long non-coding RNA. RefSeq lists it as uncharacterized. The record is from RefSeq and is a predicted model, not a curated record. Lineage: Eukaryota; Metazoa; Chordata; Actinopteri; Anguilliformes; Anguillidae. The transcript has 2 exons.
CCAGGAAAUCACCAGUGAAGUUUAACGGGAUAGUAAUUAGUUUUUAUCCAGACUUCAGCGAUUACACAGCACAGCGGCACAGAGCCUUCUCUUCUCUGCUGGCAGUAACCUGUGAUCGCGAGGAUAACACUAGAGCCCGACCGAUGCCAGAUUUUUGGGUCCGAUGCCGAUCCCGAUUUUGGAGAGUCCUAGCCCACCGAUUACUGAUGUUUUGACCGAUGUUUUGUCAAAAAGUGCAACAUUUUCAAAUCAAUUUGAAAAACUUAUAUUUUAUUAAAGUUUCUAUAUUUAAGAAUAUUUAACUUAUAAGCAAACAAAUAAAA